RNAcentral lists this ribosomal RNA (1131 nucleotides) under Bacteroides fragilis. RNAcentral's name for it is "bacterial SSU rRNA". It matches the Rfam family "Bacterial small subunit ribosomal RNA", at positions 1 to 1126 of the family's 1533-position model. Lineage: Bacteria; Pseudomonadati; Bacteroidota; Bacteroidia; Bacteroidales; Bacteroidaceae. The record is from RNAcentral.
ACAAUGAAGAGUUUGAUCCUGGCUCAGGAUGAACGCUAGCUACAGGCUUAACACAUGCAAGUCGAGGGGCAUCAGGAAGAAAGCUUGCUUUCUUUGCUGGCGACCGGCGCACGGGUGAGUAACACGUAUCCAACCUGCCCUUUACUCGGGGAUAGCCUUUCGAAAGAAAGAUUAAUACCCGAUAGCAUAAUGAUUCCGCAUGGUUUCAUUAUUAAAGGAUUCCGGUAAAGGAUGGGGAUGCGUUCCAUUAGGUUGUUGGUGAGGUAACGGCCCACCAAGCCUUCGAUGGAUAGGGGUUCUGAGAGGAAGGUCCCCCACAUUGGAACUGAGACACGGUCCAAACUCCUACGGGAGGCAGCAGUGAGGAAUAUUGGUCAAUGGGCGUUAGCCUGAACCAGCCAAGUAGCGUGAAGGAUGAAGGCUCUAUGGGUCGUAAACUUCUUUUAUAUAAGAAUAAAGUGCAGUAUGUAUACUGUUUUGUAUGUAUUAUAUGAAUAAGGAUCGGCUAACUCCGUGCCAGCAGCCGCGGUAAUACGGAGGAUCCGAGCGUUAUCCGGAUUUAUUGGGUUUAAAGGGAGCGUAGGUGGACUGGUAAGUCAGUUGUGAAAGUUUGCGGCUCAACCGUAAAAUUGCAGUUGAUACUGUCAGUCUUGAGUACAGUAGAGGUGGGCGGAAUUCGUGGUGUAGCGGUGAAAUGCUUAGAUAUCACGAAGAACUCCGAUUGCGAAGGCAGCUCACUGGACUGCAACUGACACUGAUGCUCGAAAGUGUGGGUAUCAAACAGGAUUAGAUACCCUGGUAGUCCACACAGUAAACGAUGAAUACUCGCUGUUUGCGAUAUACAGUAAGCGGCCAAGCGAAAGCAUUAAGUAUUCCACCUGGGGAGUACGCCGGCAACGGUGAAACUCAAAGGAAUUGACGGGGGCCCGCACAAGCGGAGGAACAUGUGGUUUAAUUCGAUGAUACGCGAGGAACCUUACCCGGGCUUAAAUUGCAGUGGAAUGAUGUGGAAACAUGUCAGUGAGCAAUCACCGCUGUGAAGGUGCUGCAUGGUUGUCGUCAGCUCGUGCCGUGAGGUGUCGGCUUAAGUGCCAUAACGAGCGCAACCCUUAUCUUUAGUUACUAACAGGU